UGGCGGACGGGUGGGUAAUGUCUGGGAAACUGCCUGAUGGAGGGGGGUAACUACUGGAAACGGUAGCUAAUACCGCAUAACGUCGCAAGACCAAAGAGGGGGACCUUAGGGCCUCUUGCCAUCGGAUGUGCCCAGAUGGGAUUAGCUAGUAGGUGGGGUAACGGCUCACCUAGGCGACGAUCCCUAGCUGGUCUGAGAGGAUGACCAGCCACACUGGAACUGAGACACGGUCCAG
RNAcentral lists this ribosomal RNA (235 nucleotides) under uncultured bacterium. Its description in RNAcentral is "partial 16S ribosomal RNA". It matches the Rfam family "Bacterial small subunit ribosomal RNA", at positions 96 to 334 of the family's 1533-position model. The record is from RNAcentral.